AACUUUCAACAACGGAUCUCUUGGCUCUCGCAUCGAUGAAGAACGCAGCGAAAUGCGAUAAGUAAUGUGAAUUGCAGAAUUCAGUGAAUCAUCGAAUCUUUGAACGCACCUUGCGCNCCUUGGSAUUCCGAGGNGCAUGCCUGUUUGAGUGUC
This 153-nucleotide ribosomal RNA is filed under the name Diplomitoporus rimosus. Its description in RNAcentral is "partial 5.8S ribosomal RNA". It matches the Rfam family "5.8S ribosomal RNA". Rfam says of the family: 5.8S ribosomal RNA (5.8S rRNA) is a component of the large subunit of the eukaryotic ribosome. It is transcribed by RNA polymerase I as part of the 45S precursor that also contains 18S and 28S rRNA. Lineage: Eukaryota; Fungi; Basidiomycota; Agaricomycetes; Polyporales; Climacocystaceae. The record is from RNAcentral.